UAAGGAAUAUUGGUCAAUGGACGCAAGUCUGAACCAGCCAUGCCGCGUGAAGGAUGAAGGUCCUCUGGAUUGUAAACUUCUUUUAUCUGGGACGAAAACGGGAUUUUUAUCUCAAUUGACGGUACCAGAGGAAUAAGCACCGGCUAACUCCGUGCCAGCAGCCGCGGUAAUACGGAGGGUGCGAGCGUUAUCCGGAUUUACUGGGUUUAAAGGGUGCGUAGGUGGGCUUAUAAGUCAGUGGUGAAAUCUCCGAGCUUAACUUGGAAACUGCCGUUGAUACUAUAGGUCUUGAAUUAUCUGGAGGUAAGCGGAAUAUGUCUUGUAGCGGUGAAAUGCUUAGAUAUGACAUAGCACACCAAUUGCGAAGGCAGCUUACUACAUAUAAAUUGACGCUGAGGCACGAAAGCGUGGGGAUCAAACA
Molecule: ribosomal RNA, 421 nt
Filed under: uncultured bacterium
Lineage: Bacteria
Description: bacterial SSU rRNA
Rfam family: Bacterial small subunit ribosomal RNA
Source: RNAcentral